CGUCAACUUGUCUUGAGAGAGAGAAUCUCCUCUCUCUUAUUUAAACUUUUGACAUUUUAUAUCCGAGAAAACAUGAAAAAAUAUAGAAAAAAAAAAUAUUUCCCCCUUAAUUUUCUUGCAAUGCCACUGAUUCAGGUCCUGAUCAUAUUUUUUUAUUAUUAUUAGGGCUUUCUUUCUGUGUAAGUUACAAUCUGAAGCCAUCAUCCAUCGUCUCAAGCUGGGAGAUUUACUAUCCCAAUAGGCAACUCUAUGAAUCGACAGAUCAAAAUGGUGAAUGGAUGGGUUUUUGUUGCGCUUGCAAAAUGAACUGAGAGAAGCUGUUGUUAAAGAGGAACCCAUUCUGCAUAUCUAUCCAAGCAAAGAUGUGGACAUGUGAGUGGUUUAUUUGAUUGCUGUUUCUUUGUUUUGCUAUUAAUUUGUUUCGACGUGGACUGAAAAUGUCUAGGAUCUUGAAUUAUGAUGAAGAAGAUUUGAAAGAAGAAAUCCCCAGCACUCCAACAGACAAAUCUCUAAAACUCUACUUGGAGCCAUCUGAUUCAACAUCCAAAUUGUGUGUAAAUGGCUAUUCUUUUGGGAAACCGUCAGAACAUGUGACACCCUUUGGACGAUGUACUGAUAAGUUUGUGGUCAAAUUCAACAUUGAUAACCUUUCAGAUGUGGAGAACGAUGAUGAUGAGCAUGGCCAUGGGAAACUUGAGGAUGAAAUUAUUAAGAGGGCUUAACCCUUGCAAGAGGUGUUCUUGAUAGUCCAUGGAUUGGGACCAGAUCAUGAUUGAAGGUUCAUGUAUGAGAGGAUUGAAGAUAGGUUUAAUGCACUUGAAAAUGAGAUUAGAAAGCACGCAACUGCACUUUUCACUUCUGGGCUGAUGAGGAACCGAUGGACCCCACAAUUGAGCUUAUUACUUCGGGUCCUUUUACCUCAACAGACAGCUUAUUAUUUGAGCCUCUGACUGAGCUGCAAGCAUACGCAGGCAGAAAGUUACCUUAAUUACUUAUACUAGUAUGAUUUUUCUGUUCUUGAAUCUAAUAUCAUGCUUGGGUUCCUUGCUGUCUCUGGAAAUAUCACGCCAGACUUAUUGGCGCUGUUCUAGAUGGGGCUAUUACUUGAUUCUGAAAAUUCAGAGAUUAAGAAAGGGACUGUAGGCAGGAGCUUUGAUGAGUUGUUUUGUCUGGAAAUAAUGAGAAGGGUAACUAGUCAAAAAGUGGUGAAUUGUCUCCAGAAGCUCUUCACAUCACCUCAAUUCCAGAUUUUCUCAUCCUGCCUUCAGACAUGAAGUACUUUAUAAAGGUGAUUUUCCUGGUUGAAGGGGAAGAGCAAAGGAAGUCCAUUUGCAUAAACCCAGGAACACAGGCAAAGGGACAAGGAGGUGGCACUUUUGCUGAGCUCAAGUACCAUGGGAGUCCUGACAAGAUGAAUGCUUCAAUUACUAUAGGCAUACAAAUACUGGACCUAAACUCAGUGAGGGAUUGUCCCAAACUCGAAAUGGCACAAAGCUGGAGCACAAGAUCAGAAUUAAAGAUCCAACACACCGAAUGUUCAAUUAAAUGGAACAACAGUGGAUUCUGGAAACUCGUUUUGAUAGAAGAUUUCCGCAUGUUAUUAAAUUAAUUGCAUGGGUUGAGUGAUUCAUGACCACCGGGAUCAAUCUUGUUCUUUUCUAACAAUCGAACUCAGCAUAUUUGGUAUAAAUGCAUACUGUAUUAUAUUCAUUCA
Populus nigra (black poplar) is the source of this 1714-nucleotide long non-coding RNA. RefSeq lists it as uncharacterized. The transcript has 5 exons. The record is from RefSeq and is a predicted model, not a curated record. NCBI's taxonomy places the organism in Eukaryota, Viridiplantae, Streptophyta, Magnoliopsida, Malpighiales, Salicaceae.